Molecule: ribosomal RNA, 133 nt
Filed under: uncultured bacterium
Lineage: Bacteria
Description: partial 16S ribosomal RNA
Source: RNAcentral
UUCAUAUAGUACCGUCAGUGUCAGGUAGACCCAACAUUUUCUUCCUAUAUAAAAGUAGUUUACAACCCAUAGGGCCGUCUUCCUACACGCAGGAUGGCUGGAUCAGGGUUGCCCCCAUUGUCCAAUAUUCCUU